GAAAAUGUAAUCAUUAGUGAUAUUUCAUUUACAAUGAAAAUUUUGUUUGCAAAACCGUUUUUU
This 63-nucleotide transfer RNA is filed under the name Amblyomma fimbriatum (goanna tick). RNAcentral's name for it is "tRNA-Val". The record is from RNAcentral. Lineage: Eukaryota; Metazoa; Arthropoda; Arachnida; Ixodida; Ixodidae.